This is a long non-coding RNA of Helianthus annuus (common sunflower), 1352 nucleotides long. RefSeq lists it as uncharacterized. Lineage: Eukaryota; Viridiplantae; Streptophyta; Magnoliopsida; Asterales; Asteraceae. The record is from RefSeq and is a predicted model, not a curated record. The transcript has 3 exons.
AAUCUUAGCAAAAUCUCAACAAAAGCUACUCAAAAUCUCUACAACAUCCUUACCGGAUCUUGUCUCAAAAGUUGAGACAUAUACCAUCUAUAAGAUCCAAUCACCUCCCCAUCUUUACAAAACAAAACCUUAUCUUCUCAAAUCCCUCUCUAAAAUACACACACACAUUACACAAACUCAAAAUCACACCAUCAGACUCCCCUUCCUCCUUCCCCUUCUUCUUCGAUUUCAAAACCACAACCAGACACCCCCUUUCUCUUCUCUCUGUUCAAUCGCCGGCGACCAGGAGCCGGUCACCGGUGCCGGCCGUCGCACACCCCCCCCCCUCUUCGUUAAUCACCCACCACACCACCCACCUUCGCGCAAAUCAGAGACAAAGACGAGAGAGAAAGAGAGACGAGACAGAGAGAGAGAGAGAGCGCCGGAGAUAGGAGCGGCACCGCCGCUCACGGCGGCGGCGGUGGAGCCGACGACGACAACAGCAGAACCGUCGUGGCGGUGACGACUCUCAGGCGACACGUUUUCAUAUCCGAUUGGCCCGGUAAGUUCCGAUUCACUAAGUUCUGGUAGUUUUAUGGUUUGCACAUUUCUGAUUUUUGGGGUUCCGGUGAUGUUUUCUGUUUCCGGUCGUUGCUCCGGUGAAGAAAAUGACGGUAGUGUUAAGGUUGAGCUGAUGAAGAGGGUGGUGUUGGUGUUAUUUCGGGCUCGGCUUGGUUCGGUUCGGGUGUAGGUGCACUUCAGAUUAGUUUUCGGGUUUUUCAAGUCAACUCUCAACAGUGGUUCAAGUCGUGCUUCAGGUUAAAGUGAGCCAGGUUCAGAUGGUUGUACAGCAGAUUUGGGUCUCAGCUCAGAUCGGGUUCGGUUCGGUCAACAACGGGUCUUGGUUUCGGUGUCAGAUUAUGAAGCGGUUCAGUUGACUCGGUCAAACCGAGUUAACUCGGUCAACACGGUCAAACCGAGUCAACUCCGUUGACUCGGUCAACUCGGUCAGCCUACUCGACUAAGCGACGUGAGAAUUUCGGGAUAUUGUAGAAUGCACGCCAGCGAGUCUCAUCUUGGAAACGACAUCACGAAGUCGUAAUUAGCUAGCUUCGCACAAGGCAAUUCAGGUUGCAUUUCAAAGUCGAGGCACGGUUGGAAUAGGGGGACCAUUGGGGAUUCGAGUACUUAGCGGGCGUUCAAUUUCUAGAUAGUCUAUGCUUAUUUGCUUCCGCUGUGCAAUAAAGAUACCAUUCCAGUCACACCAGCUCUGAUAAUUUCAGGGUGUGACAAGCGGAAGCAUAAGUUCAAAAACCAAAAAUAUAAGUCAAACGUUUUAUAAGUUUAUCAUGAACACACAACGGUUCAUGUCC